AAACCAACAGGGAUUACCUUAGUAACGGCGAGUGAAGCGGUAAAAGCUCAAAUUUGAAAUCUGGUAGCCUUGCUGCCCGAGUUGUAAUUUGAAGACGUGUCUUUGGGGACGGGUCUUGUCUAUGUUCCUUGGAACAGGACGUCACAGAGGGUGAGAAUCCCGUCUGAUGAGACCUCUGAACCGUGUAAAGGCGCUGUCGACGAGUCGAGUUGUUUGGGAAUGCAGCUCUAAGUGGGUGGUAAAUUCCAUCUAAAGCUAAAUAUUGGCGAGAGACCGAUAGCGAACAAGUACAGUGAUGGAAAGAUGAAAAGAACUUUGAAAAGAGAGUGAAAAAGUACGUGAAAUUGUUGAAAGGGAAGGUUAUUAGAUCAGACUUGGCUGCAUUGUAUAUUGUUUCCCUUGUGGAUUCAUCACUACAUUGUGUGCUGGGCCAGCAUCGAUUCGUGCGGCAGGACAAAAGCCUGGGAAUGUGGCUGCGCCUUUCGGGGCGUAGUGUUAUAGCCCUGUGCCAAUACUGCCAGCGUGGAUCGAGGAAUGCGUCUUUUAGACUAGGAUGCUGGCGUAAUGAUCUAAUAUCGC
This 579-nucleotide ribosomal RNA is filed under the name Gotozyma montana. RNAcentral describes it as "eukaryotic LSU rRNA". It matches the Rfam family "Eukaryotic large subunit ribosomal RNA", at positions 62 to 648 of the family's 3401-position model. The record is from RNAcentral. Lineage: Eukaryota; Fungi; Ascomycota; Saccharomycetes; Phaffomycetales; Phaffomycetaceae.